RNAcentral lists this unclassified non-coding RNA (373 nucleotides) under uncultured Leptosphaeria. RNAcentral's name for it is "sequence contains ITS2". The stretch from base 1 to 154 matches the Rfam family "5.8S ribosomal RNA". Lineage: Eukaryota; Fungi; Ascomycota; Dothideomycetes; Pleosporales; Leptosphaeriaceae. The record is from RNAcentral.
AACUUUUAGCAAUGGAUCUCUUGGUUCUGGCAUCGAUGAAGAACGCAGCGAAAUGCGAUAAGUAGUGUGAAUUGCAGAAUUCAGUGGAUCAUCGAAUCUUUGAACGCACAUUGCGCCCCUUGGUAUUCCAUGGGGCAUGCCUGUUCGAGCGUCAUUUGUACCCUCAAGCUCUGCUUGGUGUUGGGUGUUUGUCCUGCGGUUCUGUGUGGACUCACCUUAAAACAAUUGGCAGCCGGCAUGAUAGUCUGGAGCGCAGCACAUUUUGCGCAUCUUGCUAUUCUAUGUUGGCACCCAUCAAGCCCAUUUAUUUGCUCUUGACCUCGGAUCAGGUAGGGAUACCCGCUGAACUUAAGCAUAUCAAUAAGCGGAGGCU